GUGAAGUCAAAUCAGAAAGAAGAAAAAAAAAAAAAAAAGUUGUGCGUUCCCACACGGACCUAAAAGCGGGACGGACAAGGAAAAAAAAAAGAGAAGACGGAAGUUAAAGCCGUCAAACAAAGAGGACAGGAGUUUGGGACUUUGUGAAUCACAGAUCCUAGUCAACCUGUGUACAACUGGAUGAUCUUUUAGAUGAGCAGAGAGGCAGCCGGUUUUUACCUGCAUCCUCUGGAUCAAUGGUGAAUAUGUCCAUACACUGAAAUAAAUGGAAGUAAAAGCAAGGAAAACUGUUUGGUCCUUCGAGUAAAAUCCCUGCCAUUAAGAAUCUGCAUGGGGUCAUCCAUCCCUUUUCAAGUGGGGAAGUUGCACAGUUUAAAAAAGAACUUGACAGU
This is a long non-coding RNA of Xiphophorus hellerii (green swordtail), 392 nucleotides long. RefSeq lists it as uncharacterized. NCBI's taxonomy places the organism in Eukaryota, Metazoa, Chordata, Actinopteri, Cyprinodontiformes, Poeciliidae. The transcript is spliced from 2 exons. The record is from RefSeq and is a predicted model, not a curated record.